UACGUAGGGAGCAAGCGUUGUUCGGAUUUACUGGGCGUAAAGGGCGCGUAGGCGGCAGAUUAAGUCAGCUGUGAAAUCUCCGAGCUUAACUCGGAACUGUCAGCUGAUACUGUUUUGCUAGAGUGCGGAAGGGGCAAUCAGAAUUCUUGGUGUAGCGGUGAAAUGCGUAGAUAUCAAGAGGAACACCUGAGGUGAAGACGGGUUGCUGGGCCGACACUGACGCUGAGUGCGCGAAAGCCAGGGGAGCAAACGGG
RNAcentral lists this ribosomal RNA (254 nucleotides) under uncultured bacterium. RNAcentral's name for it is "partial 16S ribosomal RNA". It matches the Rfam family "Bacterial small subunit ribosomal RNA", at positions 524 to 776 of the family's 1533-position model. The record is from RNAcentral.